GCAGUCGAGGGGCAUCGGGGAGCGAAGCUUGCUUUGCUCCGCCGGCGACCGGCGCACGGGUGAGUAACGCGUAUGCAACCUGCCCGUUUCAGCGGGAUAACCCGGAGAAAUCCGGCCUAAUACCGCAUGUGGCCGAGGGAAGGCAUCUUCUUUCGGCCAAAGGAGGCGACUCCGGAGACGGAUGGGCAUGCGUGACAUUAGCUUGUUGGCGGGGUAACGGCCCACCAAGGCGACGAUGUCUAGGGGUUCUGAGAGGAAGGUCCCCCACACUGGUACUGAGACACGGACCAGACUCCUACGGGAGGCAGCAGUGAGGAAUAUUGGUCAAUGGGCGAGAGCCUGAACCAGCCAAGUCGCGUGAAGGAUGACGGCCCUACGGGUUGUAAACCUCUUUUGUCAGGGAGCAAAGGGCGCCACGUGUGGCGUUUUGCGAGUACCUGAAGAAAAAGCAUCGGCUAACUCCGUGCCAGCAGCCGCGGUAAUACGGAGGAUGCGAGCGUUAUCCGGAUUUAUUGGGUUUAAAGGGUGCGCAGGCGGAAUGUCAAGUCAGCGGUAAAAUUUCGGGGCUCAACCCCGUCGUGCCGUUGAAACUGGCGUUCUUGAGUGAGCGAGAAGUAUGCGGAAUGCGUGGUGUAGCGGUGAAAUGCAUAGAUAUCACGCAGAACUCCGAUUGCGAAGGCAGCAUACCGGCGCUCAACUGACGCUCAUGCACGAAAGCGUGGGUAUCGAACAGGAUUAGAUACCCUGGUAGUCCACGCAGUAAACGAUGAAUACUAACUGUC
RNAcentral lists this ribosomal RNA (782 nucleotides) under uncultured bacterium. RNAcentral describes it as "bacterial SSU rRNA". It matches the Rfam family "Bacterial small subunit ribosomal RNA", at positions 57 to 824 of the family's 1533-position model. The record is from RNAcentral.